CCAAACUUGGUCAUUUAGAGGAAGUAAAAGUCGUAACAAGGUUUCCGUAGGUGAACCUGCGGAAGGAUCAUUAUUGAAUAAACUUGGUUGGGUUGUUGCUGGCUUUUCAGGAGCAAUGUGCACGCUCACACCAUCUUUUAACCCACCUGUGCACCUUGUGUAGAUCUCUGGGGGUGGUUUUACUUCGGUAUUUUCCCCCCCCUUCAAGAUCUAUGUCUUUAUAUUAUACCCGUAAUAGAACGAUUGAAUGGAAAGGGCCAUCGCGCCUUUAAAAAAUAAAUAAAAAUAAAAACAACUUUCAACAACGGAUCUCUUGGCUCUCGCAUCGAUGAAGAACGCAGC
RNAcentral lists this unclassified non-coding RNA (342 nucleotides) under uncultured fungus. RNAcentral's name for it is "partial contains small subunit ribosomal RNA, internal transcribed spacer 1, and 5.8S ribosomal RNA". The stretch from base 1 to 73 matches the Rfam family "Eukaryotic small subunit ribosomal RNA", at positions 1759 to 1831 of the family's 1831-position model. Lineage: Eukaryota; Fungi. The record is from RNAcentral.